Molecule: ribosomal RNA, 506 nt
Filed under: uncultured bacterium
Lineage: Bacteria
Description: partial 16S ribosomal RNA
Rfam family: Bacterial small subunit ribosomal RNA
Source: RNAcentral
AGUGAACGCUGGCGGUAGGCCUAACACAUGCAAGUCGAACGGCAGCACAGGAGAGCUUGCUCUCUGGGUGGCGAGUGGCGGACGGGUGAGGAAUACAUCGGAAUCUACUCUGUCGUGGGGGAUAACGUAGGGAAACUUACGCUAAUACCGCAUACGACCUACGGGUGAAAGCUGGGGUGCUUCUGACCUUGCGCGUUUGAAUGAGCCGAUGUCGGAUUAGCCAGUUGGCGGGGUAAAGGCCCACCAAGGCGACGAUCCGUAGCUGGUCUGAGAGGAUGAUCAGCCACACUGGAACUGAGACACGGUCCAGACUCCUACGGGAGGCAGCAGUGGGGAAUAUUGGACAAUGGGCGCAAGCCUGAUCCAGCCAUACCGCGUGGGUGAAGAAGGCCUUCGGGUUGUAAAGCCCUUUUGUUGGGAAAGAAAUCCAGCUGGCUAAUACCCGGUUGGGAUGACGGUACCCAAAGAAUAAGCACCGGCUAACUUCGUGCCAGCCGCCGCAGUAA